RNAcentral lists this ribosomal RNA (441 nucleotides) under uncultured bacterium. RNAcentral describes it as "partial 16S ribosomal RNA". It matches the Rfam family "Bacterial small subunit ribosomal RNA", at positions 338 to 795 of the family's 1533-position model. The record is from RNAcentral.
CCUACGGGUGGCAGCAGUGGGGAAUCUUUCACAAUGGGGGAAACCCUGAUGCAGCGACGCCGCGUGAGCGAGGAAGUAUUUCGGUAUGUAAAGCUCUAUCAGCAGGGACGAAAAAAGACGGUACCUGACUAAGAAACCCCGGCUAACUACGUGCCAGCAGCCGCGGUAAUACGUAGGGGGCAAGCGUUACCCGGUUUGACUGGGUGGAAGGGGAGCGGAGAGGGCAGGGCAAGCCAGAGGUGAAAGGGAAGGGCUCAACCCGGGACAGGGAUUUGGCACUGGGGGGCUAGAGUGCAGGAGGGGGAAGUGGAAUUCGGGGUGGAGCGGUGAAAUGCGUAGAGAGUGGGAGGAACACGAGUGGCGAAGGCGGGUUACUGGACUGUAACUGACGUGGAGGCUCGAAAGCGAGGGGAGCAAACGGGAUUAGAUACCCGGGUAGUC